Molecule: ribosomal RNA, 522 nt
Filed under: uncultured archaeon
Lineage: Archaea
Description: bacterial SSU rRNA
Rfam family: Archaeal small subunit ribosomal RNA
Source: RNAcentral
ACGGGGUGCAGCAGGCGCGAAACCUUCACACUGUGCGAAAGCGCGAUGAGGGGAUCCCAAGUGCUUGCACGUAAGUGUAAGCUGUUUCUGUGUCUAAAAAGCAUAGAGAGUAAGGGCUGGGUAAGACGGGUGCCAGCCGCCGCGGUAAUACCUGCAGCUCAAGUGGUGACCGCUAUUAUUGGGCCUAAAACGUCCGUAGCCGGUUUAGUAAAUGCCCGGGUAAAUCGUGUAGCUUAACUAUACGAAUUCCGGGUAGACUGCUAAACUUGAGACCGGGAGAGGCUAGAGGUACUUCUGGGGUAGAGGUGAAAUUCUGUAAUCCUAGGGGGACCACCAGUGGCGAAGGCGUCUAGCUAGAACGGGUCUGACGGUGAGGGACGAAGCCCUGGGGCGCAAACCGGAUUAGAUACCCGGGUAGUCCAGGGUGUAAACGCUGCUUGCUUGAUGUUAGUCGGGCUCUGAGCCCGAUUAGUGUCGGAGAGAAGUUGUUAAGCAAGCUGCCUGGGAAGUACGUCGCAAGGC